RNAcentral lists this ribosomal RNA (184 nucleotides) under uncultured bacterium. RNAcentral's name for it is "partial 16S ribosomal RNA". It matches the Rfam family "Bacterial small subunit ribosomal RNA", at positions 1315 to 1500 of the family's 1533-position model. The record is from RNAcentral.
CCUGCAUGAAGUCGGAAUUGCUAGUAAUCGCGGAUCAGCAUGCCGCGGUGAAUACGUUCUCGGGCCUUGUACACACCGCCCGUCACACCAUGGGAGUCGGUAACACCCGAAGUCUGUAGCCUGACGCAAGAGGGCGCAGCCGAAGGUGGGAUUGAUGACUGGGGUGAAGUCGUAACAAGGUAGC